Long non-coding RNA from Ruditapes philippinarum (Manila clam), 982 nucleotides. RefSeq lists it as uncharacterized. The transcript is spliced from 3 exons. Lineage: Eukaryota; Metazoa; Mollusca; Bivalvia; Venerida; Veneridae. The record is from RefSeq and is a predicted model, not a curated record.
CAAUGAUUAGCUGCUAGUCGAUCGCGGAGCAUGUUCUCGGCCCGUCCCAUUGUCAAGUAACGUGAAAUUAUUUGCACUUGAUUGAAACACUGUUUACCUGUGCUAAACGACUAGAGAUAAACCUAUUUGGGUGAUAUCAUAUGGAUCAGUAGAAGUUACACUUUGCCAGUUUUAUAAAUUUUGAUAACGGACAGAUAGUGUUCAGUUAAAUAAGGACGUAAAAAUGCGUAUUAAAAAGGAGUAACAUCUAUGGGUAUAUAAUUAACUCAAAUGACUAAAUUAUAUGGUUUCGGAAUACAAGCAGUUUUCUGACUUACAUUCAGAUUCGGGUAAUUGAGUUUUGUGAAUAGUGAAUAAUGUAUGUUUGUCAUAAGGCCUGCAGCAAGAAAUUGAAAUUAAAGAAUUGAAGUAGGCGUUUAGAAAUUUUACGUUUUAUCUUGAAAACAAUAAGUGAUUACAAAUCAGACGGACUACGUGUCAUGAAAUAUGUUCAAGGCUCUUGAGUGCACUCGUGAAUUAUCAAUCCGAUAGUCGAGUACUGAAAAUAUUUCAUAAUUGUAUGUUUAUAAGAUCUUGGAUGUUUAUUUAGUGAAAUUGUGAUUGAUUUUGGUGGCAGUCUGUGGCUGAAAUUCGAUAUAUUUGAUGCGGAGUAAUUUAAAGGUAGCGUGUAAUUAGGGCCGCCUUUUUGAAAUAAAGUUAACAGUUUAAACCAGUAAUACAGCCUCCAUGAUUGUGACAAAUGCUUUUCGGAAAUUGAAUUUCUAGGAUUGACAUUCUGUUAUAUACGAAUAAUUCUUGAGUGUGAUAUUUCUAAUUUGUGUUUUUCUGGAAUAUAUUUCACAUAAGAAGGGAGCUGACUUCAGACUGUGAGUUACUUCAACAGAAAAGGACAAUUGCUCUGAUCACUGUAACACAGAUAUUGGAUUUAUUUAGCAGAAGUGAGCAGUUUUAAAGGAAUUUUCUCUGACUGACAAAUAGGUAA